AGAUUGAACGCUGGCGGCAGGCCUAACACAUGCAAGUCGAGCGGCAGCACGGGUACUUGUACCUGGUGGCGAGCGGCGGACGGGUGAGUAAUGCCUAGGAAUCUGCCUGGUAGUGGGGGAUAACGCUCGGAAACGGACGCUAAUACCGCAUACGUCCUACGGGAGAAAGCAGGGGACCUUCGGGCCUUGCGCUAUCAGAUGAGCCUAGGUCGGAUUAGCUAGUUGGUGGGGUAAUGGCUCACCAAGGCGACGAUCCGUAACUGGUCUGAGAGGAUGAUCAGUCACACUGGAACUGAGACCACGGUCCAGACCUCCGUAACGGGGAGCAGCAGGU
Molecule: ribosomal RNA, 334 nt
Filed under: uncultured soil bacterium
Lineage: Bacteria
Description: bacterial SSU rRNA
Rfam family: Bacterial small subunit ribosomal RNA
Source: RNAcentral